GUCCCGACCGGUACCCGUCCUACCUGAAACACCCUCAAAUUUUAUUCGAGGUAAACUCUCCCAAAUUCGAGGUGAACUCUCUCAAAUUCUCUAUCGGUGAAUACAUGUGAGUGGAGAAAAAAAAGCAAAAUGGGGGAUUGGGCUAAAAAGAAACUUAUGGAAUUUUUGUGACCCGUCAAAAAUGACAAUCAAUUUUGCAAAACAAAACAAUGGGUUUCGGAUUUUAAGAGUAAGUUUUUGUUAAUUGCUUUGAUUUUUAAUAUAAUUUGAUAUUUUUCAGACCAAAAUUCUUUAUAAUGAAGGGGGUAUAUACAAGUUCACUUCAUUGAUUAAAAAUCUGUCUUUUCAUUUUAGAUAGUGACAUAAUGCAGGAAGCAAUUUCCCUUAAGUAAUCUGGAACGCAAACCAAACAAGGCGCUGAUUUGCAGGUAAGUUUUUUGUAUAUUAUAUUUCUCUUAACAAAAUAAUAUCAAUGAUUUUAACUACAGAUACUGCCCAUUGUUUCUGGAUGUACUUCUCAACUGCAAUAGCUGCCGCAGGCUUUGACGACGGAGGUGUCACCAUCAAAACCAUUAGAAACAGCACCAUCAAGUCAAUGAUGCAAGUGGAAGUUUUGCCAUGUAAUAGUCGACCGCUGACGCCCUUCUCCAUCAAUUGUGUAAGUACGUAUUGAAACAUUCAUAUCAUAGUCAACUAGCUUAAUCUUCAACUUCUAGGUGUAAAGAGUACUACCAGUCUGAAGUUCUGCAAGAGACGCAAACAAAACAAGAAUACAAUCGCAUGAAGACUCCAAAAAAUGUCCAACCUUGACUGUAAGUGAGUUCAAAUUUUAAAUCUACAACGAAUCCAUUCAUUUUGCUCCUAAGGAUCGCACUGGCUUAAUGGUGGCAAUCAUUCGGAGGCAAAUGAGCUGGCCCGACAAGAAUCCCCAAGAAGCCAAACAGAUUCAGAUCAGUCUCUCGGCAGCUACUGACGAUGUCGGCGAGUUGAAUUCAUCGAUUUUCACACAGAAAAUCAACAUCAAAAAAAUCACGACAAUUCAGCAGCGUCAUGGUCAACCUGCCGAUCAACCAUUCACAGUGAACAACCUCUAUUCGUAGCAGAAGCGAUCUCUGCGUUGUCGACAAUGCGAACACAAUGUCAUCAAGCCGGAGUACCAUCCAGGAUCGAUCAAGUAAUGCAUGCAAUUGUUUGCUAACUACCAUGUGCCAGACGUUCUGCUUGUGCAUUGUGAAAAGCCACUGAAGCCUGGCACGUCCACUGAAUUGAUCCUCAAGCUAACUAACCCAACGAUGUACCAUAUGACCACAACCAUUAUGAAACUGCCAACCAAGGAAGAGGAACGGCGAAUGAUCGACUUCGAAUAAAAGUUCAACGAAAGGAACCAAAAUUCACCACUUGGAGAAAGUCAAAUAAAGUAACAAUCAAAUUGAACUUCACACCUGAACAACGACUGAAACCAGGCGAUGAUGUUACCCUUAGUUUCUUGAUAAAAUAUACUUUUGUGAAUACAUACACACGCCCGAAAAGAAAAACGUGAGAAACACGCUUUAUCACCGAAAGUUUUUGUAAAAGUUGGUCAAACUGAAGCCUAGAUUUAUUUCUAUGUAUAUCUUGAAAAUAAUCUUUUUUGCAAAAAACUUGUUUAUUUAUUUGUACUGUUCUACUGUUUCUUUGCUGGCUAGGAUUAUUUUUAUUCAAAAUUAUUUAUGAUUUACUUCACUUUAAUAAUAAAGGAAUUUGUUUUGAAUUCAAAGAUGUUGGUGCUUUUUGCUUCAGGGGACCUACAUAACUAAAAUGUUCGUUGGAAAAACGAAUAAGCUGUAUAAAGUAUAUUUUUCUUUAUUGAGGCAUUACAAAUUUAAUAUUUGUAAUACUUAUUCUUCUUAUGUUUUGAUUACGAAUACGAACUUCGAUUUUAGCUAAAAAACUAUUUUUCAACAUUAUUUUUGUCUAUUUUCAAUUUAAACAGGAACUUGAUGUUUUAACCUAAGACUACAAAUUCGUAAUAAAAAGUACGAAACAAAUUUGAACGAAAUACUGAGGAAAAAUAUUGUAGGUUUGGAAAAACAUACAUACAUAACUAAUUUUUUUUUUUUGAAAAAAGCUAUUUCAUGAAUUUAGAUCAAAAAAUCUACAUGUUUAAUGAUUUAAAUAAUUCCUUAUCACAGAAAAGAAUACAAUGUUAUUGUUAAGGACUUUUAACUAAUGUGAAUUUUAAUGCUAUAAUCUAAACAAAUUGUUUUUAUUCAUAUACUCAUCCUUGCCAACAAAAAUGGAACAUUAACCAUUUUCAACGGAUCGAUUUAAAAUCGAACACUAUGAAGAAAACAUAAGAAAUUAAUAACUUGAAAAUCAAAAAAGCCAGAAGUUAAGCUGCAACAAAGCAUUAACAGCACCAACAGUAAAUAAAUGAAUACAAAUUUGUUUUGGAUUUUAAAUAAACUUACAGAUAGACAAUAGAUCCAUACGCUCCUUCACGUGAUUUGAAAAAUUGUUUUUUUUUUUCGCAUA
Long non-coding RNA from Eupeodes corollae, 2514 nucleotides. RefSeq lists it as uncharacterized. NCBI's taxonomy places the organism in Eukaryota, Metazoa, Arthropoda, Insecta, Diptera, Syrphidae. The record is from RefSeq and is a predicted model, not a curated record. The transcript has 4 exons.